GCCCACAGUUUCACUGUCGCCAGCCUGAGAAGAGCUUUACCCUGUAUGGGUCUGGAGCUUUCUGCUCUUCCCACAGAAUGCCCUGGAAUUUCUGCUCUUCCCACAGAAUGCCCUGGAAUGCGCAGCGAUUUUCCCAUGGGAGGAAUGAAGUCUUUUGCGUUACUACACUUUGGUCUACAUGAAUCAGACGGAGUCUCACUCUGUCGCCCAAGCUGGAGUGCAGUGAUGAAAUCUUGGCUCACUUCAACCUCCGCCUCCCGGGUUCAAGUGAUUCUCCUGCCUCAGCCUCCCGAGUAGCUGUGAAUACAGUUUUCAGAUAAAGCAGAUGCAUAAAUCUCGGAUCACUGCCACAGGAUGUUCCGCAUCUCCAUCCAUACUGCGGAGACACCGCUAUGGGAAAGCACGAGCAACUUUCAAAGGCUGCUGACCCUACUGAUUAAUUACAGUCAGCCCCCACAGCCCAUAUUAAUAACAGGGAAACAGUCAGUUUCUGCUGACUUUUGCUCUCGACAGGUUGAAUGUUGAGUUCAUGUGGACACCAUGGAAUCAUGAUAUCCUAGAGAUUCAGCUACUUGGGGACAUGUUUUAAGCUAGCACUUUUCCUAAAGCCUAUCAGGAAGGCAGGAACUGCUUGUGAGCUAGCAGAGAAAGGUCUGCUCAGCCUCAAUCAUUCAUUUCACAAAUGCUGAGACUCGAGGCUGCUGUGUGUCAUGCUAGCUCCAAGGAUGCAAAGAGAGGACAGGCCCUAUGUGGUAGAAAGGAUGGGGCCAUGACCACGGUGCCACAGCCUGCAGGCCCCCAAGGACAGCCCUGUGCUGCAUUUGUGACUGUGUCUCUUGCACCUAACAGGAGGCCCAACAUUUAGCAGGUGCUCAAUAAAAACAGUGAAAAAUGAAAAAUACAAUGUUAUGCCUUUGAUAACAGUGAUCUGGGAGUUUAGGGAGAAAGCAGGUAAUUCUGCUUGGGAAUUAAAGGCUUUGAAGAAGGAGUGACAGGUCCCGGUUGGUCCUUGAAAUGUAGGAGGCAAUGGGCAGAGAAGGAAGGGCAGUCCAGGAGGGUGGCAAGCAGGAGGGUGUGAUGUGGCACGAGGUCAGACCCAAAGGAGGCAGGAUGAGGACUCUUGAAUUGCAGGUGGUCCAGUCCCUACAGACUCAAUGCUCUGUUCACAGAUUGUACAUACUGUCCACGUGAUAAAUUCCUCUUAGAAUCA
Macaca fascicularis (crab-eating macaque) is the source of this 1210-nucleotide long non-coding RNA. NCBI's taxonomy places the organism in Eukaryota, Metazoa, Chordata, Mammalia, Primates, Cercopithecidae. The record is from Ensembl.